GGACCCGUAGUUCAGAUGGAUAGAAUGAUGCCCUCCGAAGGCAUAGAUCGUUGGUUCGAGCCCAAUCGGGUCCACCA
Molecule: transfer RNA, 77 nt
Filed under: Tissierellia bacterium
Lineage: Bacteria; Bacillati; Bacillota; Tissierellia
Description: tRNA-Arg
Rfam family: tRNA
About the family: Transfer RNA (tRNA) molecules are approximately 80 nucleotides in length.
Source: RNAcentral